RNAcentral lists this ribosomal RNA (600 nucleotides) under Koinonema pervagatum. Its description in RNAcentral is "bacterial SSU rRNA". It matches the Rfam family "Bacterial small subunit ribosomal RNA", at positions 151 to 787 of the family's 1533-position model. The record is from RNAcentral. Lineage: Bacteria; Bacillati; Cyanobacteriota; Cyanophyceae; Oscillatoriales; Oscillatoriaceae.
UGGAACGGCUGCUAAAACCCGAUGUGCCGAAAGGUGAAAAAUUUAUUGCCUGAAGAUGAGCUCGCGUCCGAUUAGCUAGUUGGCGGGGUAAAAGCCCACCAAGGCGGCCAUCGGUAGCUGGUCUGAGAGGAUGAGCAGCCACACUGGGACUGAGACACGGCCCAGACUCCUACCGGAGGCAGCAGUGGGGAAUUUUCCGCAAUGGGCGAAAGCCUGACGGAGCAAGACCGCGUGGGGGAGGAAGGCUCUUGGGUUGUAAACCCCUUUUCUCAGGGAAGAAUAAUGACGGUACCUGAGGAAUCACCCUCGGCUAACUCCGUGCCAGCAGCCGCGGUUAUACGGAGGAGGCAAGCGUUAUCCGGAAUUAUUGGGCGUAAAGCGUCCGCAGGUGGCUUUUCAAGUCGGUGGUCAAAGCACAGGGCUCAACUCUGUAAAGGCCGGCGAAACUGAGAGGCUAGAGUGCGGUAGGGGCAGAGGGAAUUCCCGGUGUAGCGGUGAAAUGCGUAGAUAUCGGGAAGAACACCAGUAGCGAAAGCGCUCUGCUGGACCGCAACUGACACUCAUGGACGAAAGCUAGGGGAGCGAAUGGGAUUAAUCCCC